RNAcentral lists this ribosomal RNA (423 nucleotides) under uncultured bacterium. RNAcentral's name for it is "bacterial SSU rRNA". It matches the Rfam family "Bacterial small subunit ribosomal RNA", at positions 207 to 622 of the family's 1533-position model. The record is from RNAcentral.
AAGACCUUGCACUUUUGGAGCGGCCGAMGUCUGAUUAGCUAGUUGGUGGGGUAAUGGCCUACCAAAGCUUCGAUCAGUAGCUGGUCUGAGAGGACGGCCAGCCACACUGGGACUGAGACACGGCCCAGACUCCUACGGGAGGCAGCAGUGGGGAAUUUUGGACAAUGGGCGCAAGCCUGAUCCAGCCAUGCCGCGUGAGUGAAGAAGGCCUUCGGGUUGUAAAGCUCUUUCAGCCGGGAAGAAAAGGUUGCGACUAAUAAUCGCAAUCCAUGACGGUACCGAAAGAAGAAGCACCGGCUAACUACGUGCCAGCAGCCGCGGUAAUACGUAGGGUGCGAGCGUUAAUCGGAAUUACUGGGCGUAAAGGGUGCGCAGGCGGUUUUGUAAGUCAGAUGUGAAAUCCCCGGGCUUAACCUGGGAACU